This 384-nucleotide ribosomal RNA is filed under the name Villa sp. LRC-2002. RNAcentral describes it as "eukaryotic LSU rRNA". Lineage: Eukaryota; Metazoa; Arthropoda; Insecta; Diptera; Bombyliidae. The record is from RNAcentral.
CUUAGAGGUUAAGCCCGAUGAACCUAAAUAUCUAGUAUGAAAAAUUCAAUAUUAAUAGUAUACAUANCUUUAAUCGGUUUGGUAUACAAAUAAUGUGCAUUUUUUUCAUACAUAGACAUUGUAAUCUGUUAAUAUAAUAAUAUAAAUUUAUCAUAAGAUACGCUUUGGAUAAGUUUAUUAUUAAUUAAAUUUGUUUAUCAAAUUUAAAUAUAAUAAAAUCCAAUUAAAAUGGCGUUAUCGGAUAAAUUAUUGACAGAUUUUAUUAAUGUAUAUAACGCUUAAACUCUUUUGAGUUUUAUAAUAUUUAACAUACAUGUAUGUUAAUAUUUAUUAUAUGCGUAUAUAUGCGGGNCAAUGCUUUAGAUUUAGGAUACCUUCGGGACC